This 864-nucleotide non-coding RNA is filed under the name Pan troglodytes (chimpanzee). Lineage: Eukaryota; Metazoa; Chordata; Mammalia; Primates; Hominidae. The record is from RNAcentral.
GGACCCAGAGGGAGCGGAGCACGCGCCUUCGGGAAUCUUCGGUGCGCCAAGUCUGUUCGCCGCCGGGGUCUAUCACCCCCGCCCCUCGCCUCUGCCCGUGAGCGUCAGCUGGCUUGGCUUUUUCAGAGGAAACAGAGACUCUCAGACAUGAAUACUGUGACACUGACCACCAGGCCAACUUAACAUCAGCAGAUAUCCUGUCUCAGAUGAAGAGAUGGAGUCUCGCACUGUCGCCCCAGUUGGAGUGUAAUGGUGCGAUCUCGGCUCACUGCAAGCUCCGCCUCCCGGGUUCAUGCCAUUCUCCUGCCUCAGCCUCCUGAGUAGCUGGAACUACAGAAUGGCCUGUCCAGAAGACAGCCAAAUACAUCCUUCAAACAGACUUCACUGCAGGAGACAGAGUGGAUUCAUCCUGUAUUCUCCAUGUAGACUUCCAUCUUCAUGAGUACUCCAAGAAGAUGGUUCAGUUGACUAUUGCAAAGUCUCAGGUAUGUCUUUAUCAGCAGCAUGAAAAUGGACUAAUAGUACCAGUAGAGUGGGGCAUUGCUGAAAAGAUACCCGAAAAUGUGGAAGCAACUUUGGAACUGGGUGUUGAAAUAAUCUGGAGGGCUCAGAAGAAGAUAGGAAAAUGUAGGAAAGUUUGGAACCUCCUAGAGACUGUGAAUGGCAUUGACAAAAAUACUGAUAGUGAUAUGAACAAUAAGGUCCAGGCUGAGGUGGUCUCAGAUGGAGAUGAAGACCUUGUUGGGAACUGAAGUAAAGGUGACCCUUGUUAUGUUUUAGCAAGGAGACUGGCAGCAUUUCACCCUUGCCCUAGAGAUUUGUGGAACUUAGAGCUUGAGAGAGAUGACUUAGGGUAUCUGGUGG